UACGUAGGGUGCGAGCGUUGUCCGGAAUUAUUGGGCGUAAAGGGCUCGUAGGCGGUUUGUCGCGUCGGGAGUGAAAACACCGGGCUUAACUCGGUGCUUGCUUUCGAUACGGGCAGACUAGAGGCAUGCAGGGGAGAACGGAAUUCCUGGUGUAGCGGUGAAAUGCGCAGAUAUCAGGAGGAACACCGGUGGCGAAGGCGGAUCUCUGGGCCAUUACUGACGCUGAGACGCGAAAGCGUGGGGAGCAAACAGG
This 253-nucleotide ribosomal RNA is filed under the name uncultured bacterium. Its description in RNAcentral is "partial 16S ribosomal RNA". It matches the Rfam family "Bacterial small subunit ribosomal RNA", at positions 524 to 776 of the family's 1533-position model. The record is from RNAcentral.